GGUCAGAGAGAAAGUGCAGGGCCAAGGAGCACCUCUGCAGGAAACAAAGAAGCAUCCCCCACUGCGUCUUCCAGAAAUAGCUGGGGAGGAAAAGAAGAACAAUACUUUUUCCACAUUCACACGGGCAUCACAUCACAGUGGCUCAUGGAGAUUCAGAUGAAUGUUCAUUUGGCAUCUGGCAAAUCUUCAAGAGAACUAACGUUAGCCUACAUAGGAGCUGGAAAAUUUUAGUCUAUUUCAAAAUCAUGGGCCAAGAAAGGAAAGAACAUGCACACAAAAGAACACCAUCAAGGGCUUGUGAAUCACAGGCACUGCUUCAGCAAAGGCUUGGAUCGCGCUGCAUGAAGCACAUCAGGAUGACAGCAAGAGAAAUCCUCUCCUUCUCAGGAAGGAAUGCAAGUGAAAGACUGCUGGUGAGGGAGGGAGAGACAAAUGGAUAUAAGCACAUAACGUGGAUACUCUCAUUUGUUGCCAAAAAUGCUUAGAAAUGGCAGAACUUUGAUAUAAGGAGGCUCGGAGCAAUGUUAGAAACUUACAAGUUCUGAGCAUGGAUCAUCUAAUAAAAUGCUGAAAGGAAGGCACUGAUGUUUUGGAAAACAUGGAAGAGGCUAAAAAAUAAUAAUUAAAACAAAUCAAAGGAAAAAGAGUCAGAUCAAAAUAUGACUCUCAGUGCAGAGCUGAAAUCAGGGUUCUGAAUGAAGUCUCUCCAGAAUAAAUUACUCUGGUACUUUUUGGAAAUCCAAACUGACACUUCAAAAUGUUUCCAAAUGACAUCUUCCAGAGACUCAUCAUACCCCAAGGAAUGAUACAGAUGAGGACAAAUUGUGAGGGCUGGGAAAACCAGUUUUUUUUUUUUUUUUUUUUCCACAAUAUAACACCACUUUUUCAGUAAUAGAUCUUAAUGCAAUUUUUGGAGGGCUAAAAUGUUACAAAACUAAUCUUUAAUUAUCCCAGCUGAGGCAAAUACGCCUUACCUGUACUGAUGUUGGCCUAUAGCUUUGUUUCUGCCUGACUGUAAGCAAGCUGUUUGCACAGCACUUGUCCAUCAUGAAUAACCAGUGACCCGAGAUCUCCAGGAUAUGAUCUAGAUCGAUAUACCCUAGUACCCUGCCCUUUGCUGAGGUGCUGAUUUCAGUGAGAGAUUUCUCAGGAACACCUGUGCCACUUUGCACCUUAUAGUCUAAUCUCUUGACCUAACAAGACCUUGCUAUAUCUUACAAAGCACACUUGCAUGAUGAGUGGCCUCUUAUUUCAACCGUGCAAUCAACUGCACAGCUGGAUGAGCUCCCAGAUGGAAAUGCUUUUAUGAGUAAUGCAAUGCAGAUAGCACAGUUUCCACUAGAUGGCAAUAGAGGGAAUAAAAGUUCCAUGCUGCUUUACAAAGUGAAUGUAUGACCCAGCUAAGCAUGUUUUGUAAAAGACAGCAGCUCACCUUCUAUUCUGCACAGAUAAUAUCUGGAAAUCCUUUCUGGUUCUGAGAAUUAAAGGGCUCCAGAGGAUUACAGAAAGCUCACGAGUUACAGAAAUGAGGUAAGAUUUUCAGUCACUCAAAGUGAAAUUUUCUCCACUGAAUUCGUCUUUUUUAUCAAAAUGCCUGUAGGACCUUUGAAACUCCUCUCUGAAUCACACAGAGUGAGACUCAUUUUGGUGUCCUGUCUACUUCUCAGUCCACACUGGUGCUAGACUUUGGGAAAGUUAGUUUGCCAAACUUCUGAACGGAAAUUGUGGCUAGAAAAUUCAGUUGUUUUAGUCCACAGGGACUAAAAUUCAGUUCACAGGGAAAGAAAGAGGAGAGGACAGAGAGGUAAGAAAUGUAUAUAGCUUUUUUAAGAGCUUGUUUUAUAAAGACAUGGAUGUGAAUAGAUCCCAUCUGAUCUAGUGUGGAAGAUGGGACUGCAAAGGAAGGAACAUCUCCAACUCAGGAGAUGCCUGACUUCCCACGUGACAGUCCUGCUUGAGUUCAGGCUGAAGACAUGCCUGCUCAAUGGAACAGGGCCAUCUCAUUUUGCUUUUGAUGUCUCAUUCUGAAAAACAUGUAGGGAUGACUCUCAAGCCUGCCAACAUAUAAUUUGCUUAGAUGCAAAUGGAUUUUACUGAACAUUUUACUCGUUUGCAGAAAGGAAAUUGGAAGGUGGAGAAAAUCUAUUACCUUUAAUCUCUCCCCCUAGAAAACUGCUUCUCUUAAUCAAAGUAAACAUGCAGUGCUUUUUGUGCUGAGACUUUCCAGACAGUGGGAUAUAUCAAGUGUCAGGAAAUAAACCAGUGCAACCCCAGCUGACUUUCUUCUAUCAGAUUAUUUGGCCAUUAAAUAUAGUUAGACUGUGAAACACUGGGGCAGGGAGAUGAGUUGUACAAGUCCAUCCUGAAUAACCAGUUAUGGGGAAAAUAACUGUCCUUCCUUGUUUGGCCAUCACUGGCCCUGGCUUUUCAGUGGUAGAGGCAAACGACUGUUUACCAGGCCCAGGAGGUGGGUGGCUGUAGGAACUUCGCUUGGUUAAUUACUCAAAGCAUAAUCAAAUUUGUCCUUGCCUCAGUUCCCAACUUACCCCUGAAAUAUUGUUUGAAUUUAGAGGCUAAGAUUUCCUAAGCAGGGACAGUGGAUCACUUGGGCUUUUAGAAGUUAAUACCAAGUUGCGUAAUCCUUGUUUGGGAUCCUUCAGAGUUGCUCCAAUGGAAAUAACACCACAAAUUGCUGCUGGGUGAAAACGAGCCUGGACCUGGGCAGGCAGCGGUGUGUCAUGCUGCCUUGCAGUGUAGGUGGGACUUGGGCUACCGCCGGGCCCUGCCUUCUCACAGACAUGCUGUGCCUCCCUGCAGGGAGACACGGAGUCUCCACCCCCAUCCCCACACACAUUGCAGCGCUGAGGACAUCAUCAUCAUUCUUCUGCGUGGGCUGAAAUCCUCCCGCAUGAUGUCAACUGAAUACAUUUAAUUAAAAUGAAAAGGCUACUGCUACCCUUAUCACAGUCCUUUCCUUCAUUUUAUGUUUGUCAUUCUCGUUUUCAGUUUCUCAGUUUGCCUUCUUGUGCAAGUUCACACAGACACUAGCUGCCUGCCC
Molecule: long non-coding RNA, 3058 nt
Organism: Gallus gallus (chicken)
Lineage: Eukaryota; Metazoa; Chordata; Aves; Galliformes; Phasianidae
Exons: 3
Source: RefSeq, a predicted model, not a curated record